GGGCAGGAAGGUAGCAGCGCCAACGAAA
Molecule: non-coding RNA, 28 nt
Filed under: Conticribra weissflogii
Lineage: Eukaryota; Bacillariophyta; Thalassiosirophyceae; Thalassiosirales; Thalassiosiraceae
Source: RNAcentral